UGCAUCGGCCGGGAAUCGAACCCUGGCCGCCCGCGUGGCAGGCGUGCAUUCUACCACUGAACCACCGAUGC
RNAcentral lists this transfer RNA (71 nucleotides) under Cordylochernes scorpioides. Its description in RNAcentral is "tRNA-Gly". Lineage: Eukaryota; Metazoa; Arthropoda; Arachnida; Pseudoscorpiones; Chernetidae. The record is from RNAcentral.